Molecule: unclassified non-coding RNA, 129 nt
Filed under: uncultured Ascomycota
Lineage: Eukaryota; Fungi; Ascomycota
Description: sequence contains ITS1
Source: RNAcentral
CCGAGUUAUACAACUCCCAAACCCAUGUGAACCUACCUUACGUUGCUUCGGCGGCCUAAACCGCCGCCGAGGGAUAGUAACACUCUGUUUUUUUAUGGAUUCUGAGUGGCAUUUAUUACAAAUAAAUCA